This 422-nucleotide unclassified non-coding RNA is filed under the name Hevea brasiliensis (rubber tree). The record is from RNAcentral. Lineage: Eukaryota; Viridiplantae; Streptophyta; Magnoliopsida; Malpighiales; Euphorbiaceae.
GAGCCUUAAUGAUCAAUGAAUCCUGUAAUUGAAGAAUUACACAAGGUAAUGAAUAGGUGAUGCCAAUAACAGAUUAAAAAGAUAAAAAUAAAAUAAAAACAAGUAAAGAUAGAUCAUAAUCAUACUGUAGAUUCCAUCUAUAAUACUCCAUGAAAAUAGAGUUAGAGCAAAGAAGAAACAAGAAAGUAGGGAGGGAUUUGGGUUUUAUUCUGGUAGUUCAUUUGGAGAAAAUUAAGGCGAUAGAAAUGGUCAGAGCAUAGAUUCACUUGAAGAGAUCAGAUCCAAGCAAAAACAUGCAUGUUAUGACUCAUAACCAAAGGAAAACAAAUCUACAACAAUAUUCUGGCACUGAACAUAUGUUUUUAUAAUAUAGCCUAUAGUUGUCCUGCAGUCAUGAAAAUUAGGAGGGACCAACCAAUGAA